This 385-nucleotide unclassified non-coding RNA is filed under the name Hevea brasiliensis (rubber tree). The record is from RNAcentral. Lineage: Eukaryota; Viridiplantae; Streptophyta; Magnoliopsida; Malpighiales; Euphorbiaceae.
CGUUCUCUUCCUUGUCUUCUCUUUUCGUUGAGACUCCUAACUCUGAACCCCACAAUAGCUACAAUCAUCAGCUAGAGACAUAGAUUCUAGGGUUUUCUUACACACUUCAUUCUAAACUAAAUUCGAUUCAAAGCAAAUGGAAGGAGUCAGCAAUGGAGGGAUGUUGUACCAUGAGGUGCAAGAGGCCAAGCUUUGCGCCGUACAUUGCGUCAACACGGUGUUGCAGGGACCCUUCUUCUCCGAAUUUGAUUUGGCAGCGCUCGCUUCCGAUCUUGAUUGCAAGGAGCGCCAGAUGAUGCAAGAGGGCAGCGUUUCCACUGGCGAUUUCCUCUCCGCCGAAUCCCACAACGUCUCCUUGGACGGCGACUUUAGUAUACAGGUCCUA